This 72-nucleotide transfer RNA is filed under the name Camelus bactrianus (Bactrian camel). It matches the Rfam family "tRNA". From Rfam's summary of the family: Transfer RNA (tRNA) molecules are approximately 80 nucleotides in length. Their secondary structure includes four short double-helical elements and three loops (D, anti-codon, and T loops). The record is from Rfam by way of RNAcentral. Lineage: Eukaryota; Metazoa; Chordata; Mammalia; Artiodactyla; Camelidae. RNAcentral also lists the same sequence under 1 other name.
GUAGGUUUAGUUCAGUGGUAGAGUAUGUGCUUCAUAUGCACAAGGUCCUAGGUUUAAUCUCCAGUACCUCCA